AACAAGACUUCUGACAUCUUUGA
RNAcentral lists this small nuclear RNA (23 nucleotides) under Arabidopsis thaliana (thale cress). Its description in RNAcentral is "snRNA_04194". Lineage: Eukaryota; Viridiplantae; Streptophyta; Magnoliopsida; Brassicales; Brassicaceae. The record is from RNAcentral.